UAAAGUUUUUUUAUUAGCAAAUAAAUGGAGAGAAAUGAUUCGGUACUUUUUUUAAAAAAAAAUAAAAAAGAUCUUAACCGUUGAUUAAUAGAGGGUAAAAAUGUAACUUCAAUACUUAGCAGGUAAAAAAAUUAUUUUAUUCAAGGUUAGUUUGGUAAUUAAAUAAUACAAUAUUUAAAGAAACUUUUAAUGGAGGUCCUAAAUUUAUGCAUUAAUUAGUACUAAUUUAGGAAAUUAAUUGAUUAACCAAAUUUAUGAAACUAUUAGGCAUUAAAUGUUUUAGUGUUUCUCAAAUUAUGCAUUAAUUUAAAUUAAAGAAAAUUUAGAAAUUGUUUUAUUUCUAAAUACGAUGAAUUUAAAUUUUAAAAAUUAAAUACUUAAAAUUUAAAAGUAAAAUUUAAAUUAGAGGAAUUUCAUAUUACUAUUUAAAAACUAAAUUUCUACCAAGAUUUAAAAUACAGUUUAUUCGCACCAGUUUAAAACGUAAUGCAUAAAAAACUUAGAGAGUAAGAUUUCUACAACUAGAUUUCUCUAGAGCAAUUUUAUAUUACUAUUUAAAUUUUAAAUUCAAUAAUUUAAAAACUAGAUUGAACCGAUUGAUUUGACUGAUCAGACUUUGACUUAUUCUAUCAAGAAUUUGAUUUUAAGCCAUUGAACCGAAUAACAUUAAGAACAAUUUGGAACCGGUAAAGAUAAUAAAUAUUUUUAACAGAAUAAUAAUUUAACUGUUAGAGCUAAUAAAUAUUUUAAAUAUAAUUUUAAACAUAUAAAUUAAAAAGAUUAGAAUUAUUGGUGAGAAAAAAAAUAGUUAGGAAUUUGAAUUCGAAUUUGACUAACAAUCACAAAACUUAUUUUCGAACUCGACGGAUUUCAAAAAUCCAUAUCCAAAUUCAAAACUGACCAAUUUUUCGAAACCCAAAAUCAAACCUAAAUCAGAAGACUAGAAUUCAAACAAUUAUUUCUGUUUACCAUAUUUCAAAGUAUUUAUAUGAAACUUAAAUUUUUAAAAUAUAAAU
Molecule: long non-coding RNA, 1016 nt
Filed under: Ananas comosus (pineapple)
Lineage: Eukaryota; Viridiplantae; Streptophyta; Magnoliopsida; Poales; Bromeliaceae
Description: long non-coding RNA (ACOM_LNC032179)
Source: RNAcentral